RNAcentral lists this ribosomal RNA (1372 nucleotides) under uncultured bacterium. RNAcentral's name for it is "bacterial SSU rRNA". It matches the Rfam family "Bacterial small subunit ribosomal RNA", at positions 28 to 1381 of the family's 1533-position model. The record is from RNAcentral.
GAUGAACGCUGGCGGCGUGCCUAAUACAUGCAAGUCGAGCGAACGGACGAGAAGCUUGCUUCUCUGAUGUUAGCGGCGGACGGGUGAGUAACACGUGGAUAACCUACCUAUAAGACUGGGAUAACUUCGGGAAACCGGAGCUAAUACCGGAUAAUAUUUUGAACCGCAUGGUUCAAAAGUAAAAGACGGUCUUGCUGUCACUUAUAGAUGGAUCCGCGCUGCAUUAGCUAGUUGGUAAGGUAACGGCUUACCAAGGCAACGAUGCAUAGCCGACCUGAGAGGGUGAUCGGCCACACUGGAACUGAGACACGGUCCAGACUCCUACGGGAGGCAGCAGUAGGGAAUCUUCCGCAAUGGGCGAAAGCCUGACGGAGCAACGCCGCGUGAGUGAUGAAGGUCUUCGGAUCGUAAAACUCUGUUAUUAGGGAAGAACAUAUGUGUAAGUAACUGUGCACAUCUUGACGGUACCUAAUCAGAAAGCCACGGCUAACUACGUGCCAGCAGCCGCGGUAAUACGUAGGUGGCAAGCGUUAUCCGGAAUUAUUGGGCGUAAAGCGCGCGUAGGCGGUUUUUUAAGUCUGAUGUGAAAGCCCACGGCUCAACCGUGGAGGGUCAUUGGAAACUGGAAAACUUGAGUGCAGAAGAGGAAAGUGGAUUCCCAUGUGUAGCGGUGAAAUGCGCAGAGAUAUGGAGGAACACCAGUGGCGAAGGCGACUUUCUGGUCUGUAACUGACGCUGAUGUGCGAAAGCGUGGGGAUCAAACAGGAUUAGAUACCCUGGUAGUCCACGCCGUAAACGAUGAGUGCUAAGUGUUAGGGGGUUUCCGCCCCUUAGUGCUGCAGCUAACGCAUUAAGCACUCCGCCUGGGGAGUACGACCGCAAGGUUGAAACUCAAAGGAAUUGACGGGGACCCGCACAAGCGGUGGAGCAUGUGGUUUAAUUCGAAGCAACGCGAAGAACCUUACCAAAUCUUGACAUCCUUUGACAACUCUAGAGAUAGAGCCUUCCCCUUCGGGGGACAAAGUGACAGGUGGUGCAUGGUUGUCGUCAGCUCGUGUCGUGAGAUGUUGGGUUAAGUCCCGCAACGAGCGCAACCCUUAAGCUUAGUUGCCAUCAUUAAGUUGGGCACUCUAAGUUGACUGCCGGUGACAAACCGGAGGAAGGUGGGGAUGACGUCAAAUCAUCAUGCCCCUUAUGAUUUGGGCUACACACGUGCUACAAUGGACAAUACAAAGGGCAGCGAAACCGCGAGGUCAAGCAAAUCCCAUAAAGUUGUUCUCAGUUCGGAUUGUAGUCUGCAACUCGACUACAUGAAGCUGGAAUCGCUAGUAAUCGUAGAUCAGCAUGCUACGGUGAAUACGUUCCCGGGUCU